Beta vulgaris subsp. vulgaris (sugar beet) is the source of this 993-nucleotide long non-coding RNA. RefSeq lists it as uncharacterized. The record is from RefSeq and is a predicted model, not a curated record. The transcript has 3 exons. NCBI's taxonomy places the organism in Eukaryota, Viridiplantae, Streptophyta, Magnoliopsida, Caryophyllales, Amaranthaceae.
UUACUUAUGAUUUUUGUUUUGGGAAAAUUUAUGAAUUAAAAUGUUUUGAAUUUCUUUUGAUGAUUUUAAAUCUGAUGUUAGAAAAAGAAAAUAUACAAUAAAAAAAAAAGAGAAAGAGAAGAAAAAGAAAGAAAACAACUCAUUUCCUUAUGUUUCGUGGCAUUGUGUGGGAAUGCCACAAUUGUACUUAGCUGUCCAAAUUUCAUAAAGCCUUAGUAAAGGUAAAUAGAAACCCCAACACCCUUCUUCAAAUUCAGACCCAAUUCAUCCAUUCCUUUGAUAUCUCAAGCUCGCAUCUUGUCAUCUGCACCUCUAUUUACUUUUCUCUUCGAAUUCCAUCUAAUUGCGAUCAACCAGUGAUGUUGUUUAGUGUUCUUAAUUUCGUUUCUCUCUCCUCUGCUUCCGCGGUGCUGCUGCUGCUGUCGUAAUGCCGCCACCGGUGUUUUGCUGAUGUGUCGGUGCUGCUUCUGUUUUGUUGUUGUGCGCCAGUGCUAUCGUUUUCCGGUCCUCUUCGCCGGCGAGCUGCCACCAUCGCUGCUGCACGUUGUUAUGGUUGUUGAGUUCUUCAAAUUCUUAUCUCUUUAACAAGGUGAUUGUUGGGGAAUGCCUUUAAGAAGUAUAUGAUUCAAUCUAAGAUGAAGGUCAAGUUCAUGAUUCUUGGAGGUUGCAUAUAAUCGUUCUUGAGUUAUUAUGGAGUUGGAUUAUCGUAUCGAGGUUUGUGUUGGGAGCUCAUAGUGGAUCGAAAGUAAAGAGUCGAUUAUUGAAUUGUAGAUAUCCUUGUAUUCUAAGGUUGUAUUUGGAAGUAUGCAAGCUCUUAGUGGAGAAUUUAAUAUUCUAUUGUUUUGGGAAUAAAGUAAAUUGUAAUCUGUUAUUGGUUGUGAAGAUUAUUAUGUUGUGGGCCCUGACCCAUAGGUCCAGGAUCGUGUAAAAAGGUUUUGUUUCCGCUGCGAGUAAAUAGUUAAUUCGAGGUUAUGAAAUGUUAAUUGAGUUUUA